ACCCGGCCAUCCCCACCCUUUUCCCGAGCAUCCUUAAAGCAGAGCAGUGAUGCUGCUACUGGACGAUGCCAUGUCUCAAAGAUAUUUCAAAGAAUAAGAAACCCAUAACCAUUUCAACAUGCGAGAUACAGAGCGAAUAUCUUUCUUACAAUGGCGAGUUGCCGACCAUGUCCCCGCAUUCUAAGUUUCUAACGGUUGUCAGCUCCUAAUUCCAGUCCAGCAGGCGUCCUGAGAAACGGAAAUCCCCCUCUCAUUCCGUGGCGCCGCCGAAUCCAAACAGAGGCAUUCUUCGUGUAGCCUUCGUUCACUUCAGACCACACCGCUUGUCAUCGAGUCGAGACCAGCAUGUUCUUUCCUCACAUGCUGACGGGGCAGGCAGCGCCGGAGGCCCGCAAGGAAGGGUGGGUCCGCGCUUCAGCUCCGAUGCGUCGUCAUUCACGACGAUCGAGCUGCUGCUUCACGGGUUCACUCAGCGCAGCCGAGGGAGAACCUUGGCGCUGGUCCGAAAUCACUGUCUCUCCCAUCUAGGGAGCGAAAUGGUAGCACUUAAAGUCGUGCAUGCUGGGGGUGACAUUCGCCUCACACUAGGUCGCACUGCUUGGUGGUUGUGGAAGAUGCGUCAAUAGAACAAGCAAAGGAGGGCAAGUACCUUCAAUGAUUUGUUUGGCAAGGGUAAGAUCAGCACUGUGGUAGCAAAGCAGUAACCGCUGCCAGGUCCGUUUUCAAGCAUCUCUUGAGUUCAUUAAUACGGCUCAUUACAUUAUUAUUGUCUCUCUCUUCCUUUUUUUUUUUGUCAAAGCCAAUCAACUGCAGAAACGCUUGAAAACUUGACUUUUGCAAAGCUGGUACCUUCCGUUGUUGCAGUUAGGGAAUACCUUAUAUGAAGGUCUAUCUAUUCUUACCUUGUGUUGAUAGGUUCUUUCUAAAUCUGAGGUAGAUAUUUGAUUUGUGCUGGUAGGCUGGUAAGGUUUCAACCGAAAGGAGAACUGAAUUAAUAGGUUUCUGAGUAAUGCAUAGUACAUUAUUGUACAAGUGUGGCCCAAUUUAUUGAGGCCCAUGCUUAAGAAAGUUGCCUCUCCUUUUCCAUUAGAAAACUGAAGGGAAUUAUCAGUAAAGAUAAGGCUCUGUCAUAGUUUAAUGCUGCAAAUGGUACCUGCUGCGUGAGAAUCAAACUAUAAAACUGGGCUGGCCCAAAGCUCUCCACCUACAUUAGGGAAUCUGAUCUCACUAUCCUGACAACUAUAAAUAAAUGGUUCAGUAAGGACAAAAACCUAUGAUAUGCCGACAAUCUUUUGUGCUUGACAUUCUUUUAUCACCACUUGUUGAUUUAUCUAUUCCCUGGAGUAGAUUCUUGCUCUUUCUAUCUGUUGCAAUGCCCUGUUUUUUUUCCUUGAUCCAAGUGUGUAUCCUCUUGCUACUUUUGGCAAAAAAAUGCCUGUUCUAAUACUUAAACUAAUGAAGAUAUAGAAAAGAUAUACUUAGGCUAAUGAUUGUAUCAUUUGUUGGGCAUAGCUAGCACGAAAGACUUCUAGACUUCUCAAUGCUAUAAACAAACACUGUGUGAGACAAUGUGCCUCCAUUUUACUACUCAAGUGCAAAAUUAUCCAUCUGACAGUUCCACUUCCACUAUGGUAUUAUGUUCCCUUUUAUCCCCUCUUUUUUUUUGUUCUAGCGUUCUUUCAAAUAUUAUCCGCCAAACAUGAGAUUGACUGACCAGUUUUAGAAUGUAUAUGCAAAAUGCUUCUGGAAAUGUUCCUGAAAAAGGAAAACAUUUUCAAACAUGCUUUUCUUUGAUUUAAUCGUCUGUUAUUCUCUUGAUAAACGAUCAAACUGUAGUAUUAUGACACUUGCACGGCAAUGAUUAGACCAAAAGUGAAAGCUGUAACUAGAUGAGUCUCCAUCAGGUCAUACCUAUGCCAGAUGUACUCAUUACUCCCUUUAAAUCUAACAUUAUAGAAAUGCUUAAUACAACUUAUUUUAUAGUAAUGCUUUGCUUACUAUAAACAAGAGUGCUGAUCUCAUUGCCAUUCUGACAUCAUGGUUUAUUAAUAGUAGUACUCCAUUUGUCAUUAGUUUAUGGCACGUACACAUCUCUAGGCUUUCUUGGAACUUUAAGAUUGGCAUUAUAAAACUACUCUUGUCAAAUGGUUGAAUGAUGAGUAUGAUGGAGAUUUGAAAGUGAGAGAUUUCUGCUUUUGUUUGUCUUAGCUCCUGACCCUGCUUUUCGCAGUCUUGGUGGCAACUUAAAAACUAGCCAUGUUUCAAGUUCCAACUUCAAGUUCUAUCCUCUCAAAGAAAGAGGGGAAUCUUCCAAGUUCCAAAAACCAUGGGGCUUUGCUAAUACACAGAACUCAUCCAAGCUGUUUAAAAUUGUCCAGGGACUCCAUACAAUUUGGCAAGAUACUAUUUAUUUUCUCUGAGCAUUCAGAAACCUUAUUACGUGCCAGUUGCUUUACAUUCAAUUGCAACAAUCAGAUGAGACAUGAGUUAAACCAGACAAAGAGAUGGGUUUUUCAGUUGCAUCAACCCAAAGGCAAAAAGAUGAGGUUGAUUUGAGAUGAUAGAUGCUGAAUGGCUGAUUGGUUGCAGAGAUAAGUCACAUUUAUAUACGUCAUUUUUGAAAUUUUCAUCCAGUCAAUAAUGGACAGUUCCACUGAAGCUAGGCUUAGAGCACUGGAGCAGGUGAUGGGGAUUGAACACUCAUCUGGUUUUAUUUUGGGUACUUGAUUUUAUUUUUCACAGUCAUGGGCGGUGGAGUAGCGUCAGAUAAGCUUCCGGUUUCACUUUCAUGCGUAUGUUCAUCUGCUGCCCGACUUUUGCUCAAUCCUGAUUUUUGGUGCUGUCUAUUUGCUCAACAGUCUCGUGAAAGAAAAUUUUCUAUAUAGAUUAAUUUUCAGAAUGCGAAAGGCCCAUUUUGAUUUGACCUCUUGAGAGGAAUGUGAACGUGAGCGCGUAUUUCAUCAGAUUUCUCAGUCGAGUGCAGCUUCAUACCAAACAAAUGAAACAAUGCAUUCAUGUUGUGCGUGUUUGUUGCUAGAAAGGUGAAAAGAAGACAAUGAAGGUCUCAAGGUCGAAGUCACUGUCCAUCAGAGCUGCUUUUUGAUAAAAUAUGAAGUGGGGAAUUUCUCAGUAACAAUCCACGUGAUGUUACCCUGAGCAGAAAUUCAGACCAGCAUCAGAAACCAGAUUUCAAAUAUUUGCUGGACCCAAUUGCGAUAUCCAGGAGGCAGUUGGUGCUUCCAAGGAGGCAGUUUGUGGUCCUGGUGAAAAACCGUUUGUGGUCCUAGCUCACCAACAGUCCUACUCUAUUUCAGCACAGAUGAUCCCCAGGACAGCCAUCUUUUUAUCUUUGGAUGCCAUCAAUCAUCUAAACUUGCCACAUCUGGAUGCUUUUGCUGGCUCUGAGGUCUUGAGCUCACUGGCCAACCACAAGUCCCCGAGACUGUUUAGCCCCUCCUUGGCUCCAGGCAGCACAGCUUUGAAUGUGUGGUGGUAUUUUGGAACUUGGAAGGGAAAGCUAUAGCUUAGCUCUGCAAUGGGAACAGUACCUCAAGUACUAUUCCCAGCUUUAGUAGUGUUAGGUACUGAAUAAUCAGGUUGCUUCGCUUUAUUUUAUGGUACUCCUAUAAUGAAUAUUCCCUUCCUUUUAUCUCUCGCCUUUCCAUGACUAUGGUGGUAUUUAGAACUAUGAUAUAUCAUGAUGAGCAAGUUUAAUUAUUAUGCCCUGCAUUGACACAAUUUUUCUUCUUCUAGGAUCUGUCUAGAGGGAGUAUCUAGCAAUCCAAGACAUUUAGAAUUUACAUUUAAGGCCUCGUUAGGAACACAAGGAAUUUAUAAGAGAUGGCAUUAUUCUCACAGGAAACCCUAUACCUACCGCCUUUUGAGUGAAAAAAGUAACCAAUGCUGUUUUGCUUGAUGGGGGCACACAUAUUUAAAUCCAUAACAUAGCAUUUUUCGGUCAUCAAAGAGACAAUCACCUUACCGCGAGAACAAAAAUAGAGUAAGGAGGUGGGGAACACCUGCAACAGGGAAAGGAAACAAGCAAGUCUAGUUCCAAUUUAAUUGAACGAGGUCGUGAGCUCGGGUCAGCUGCACUGUUUGAGCACAAACUCACAUGCCUCCUCUUCCUUCUGUCCUUCGCUCGCCAAGAAUCACCGUACAAUGUACAAUAGCUACGGGACCCAAUGUGUAUUUGACCAUAUUUUGGCUCUCAUAUCACUAGUACUAUCUUGCUUUCCGGCAGUUUUUAUUAAUAUCUUCUC
Molecule: long non-coding RNA, 4262 nt
Organism: Panicum virgatum (switchgrass)
Lineage: Eukaryota; Viridiplantae; Streptophyta; Magnoliopsida; Poales; Poaceae
Exons: 3
Source: RefSeq, a predicted model, not a curated record